GAUGAACGCUGGCGGCGUGCCUAAUACAUGCAAGUCGAACGAGUUCUGAUUAUUGAAAGGUGCUUGCAUCUUGAUUUAAUUUUGAACGAGUGGCGGACGGGUGAGUAACACGUGGGUAACCUGCCCUUAAGUGGGGGAUAACAUUUGGAAACAGAUGCUAAUACCGCAUAAAUCCAAAAACCGCAUGGUUCUUGGCUGAAAGAUGGCGUAAGCUAUCGCUUUUGGAUGGACCCGCGGCGUAUUAGCUAGUUGGUGAGGUAACGGCUCACCAAGGCAAUGAUACGUAGCCGAACUGAGAGGUUGAUCGGCCACAUUGGGACUGAGACACGGCCCAAACUCCUACGGGAGGCAGCAGUAGGGAAUCUUCCACAAUGGACGCAAGUCUGAUGGAGCAACGCCGCGUGAGUGAAGAAGGCUUUCGGGUCGUAAAACUCUGUUGUUGGAGAAGAAUGGUCGGCAGAGUAACUGUGUCGGC
RNAcentral lists this ribosomal RNA (475 nucleotides) under Lacticaseibacillus rhamnosus. RNAcentral describes it as "bacterial SSU rRNA". It matches the Rfam family "Bacterial small subunit ribosomal RNA", at positions 28 to 476 of the family's 1533-position model. The record is from RNAcentral. Lineage: Bacteria; Bacillati; Bacillota; Bacilli; Lactobacillales; Lactobacillaceae.